This 499-nucleotide ribosomal RNA is filed under the name uncultured bacterium. RNAcentral describes it as "partial 16S ribosomal RNA". It matches the Rfam family "Bacterial small subunit ribosomal RNA", at positions 28 to 507 of the family's 1533-position model. The record is from RNAcentral.
GACGAACGCUGGCGGCGUGCCUAAUACAUGCAAGUCGAGCGAAGUUUUUCUGGUGCUUGCACUAGAAAAACUUAGCGGCGAACGGGUGAGUAACACGUAAAGAACCUGCCUCAUAGACUGGGACAACUAUUGGAAACGAUAGCUAAUACCGGAUAACAGUAUUUCUCGCAUGAGAGAUAUUUAGAAGUUGGUUAUGCUAACACUAUGAGAUGGCUUUGCGGUGCAUUAGCUAGUUGGUGGGGUAAAGGCCCACCAAGGCGACGAUGCAUAGCCGACCUGAGAGGGUGAUCGGCCACACUGGGACUGAGACACGGCCCAGACUCCUACGGGAGGCAGCAGUAGGGAAUCUUCCGCAAUGGGCGAAAGCCUGACGGAGCAACGCCGCGUGAGUGAAGAAGGAUUUCGGUUCGUAAAGCUCUGUUGUUACGGAAGAAUGGAUAUGUAGUAACUAUACAUGUAAGAGACGGUACCUAACCAGAAAGCCACGGCUAACUACGUG